Molecule: ribosomal RNA, 340 nt
Filed under: Salmonella enterica
Lineage: Bacteria; Pseudomonadati; Pseudomonadota; Gammaproteobacteria; Enterobacterales; Enterobacteriaceae
Also listed under: 1 other name
Description: partial 16S ribosomal RNA
Rfam family: Bacterial small subunit ribosomal RNA
Source: RNAcentral
GGCAGGCUUGAGUCUUGUAGAGGGGGGUAGAAUUCCAGGUGUAGCGGUGAAAUGCGUAGAGAUCUGGAGGAAUACCGGUGGCGAAGGCGGCCCCCUGGACAAAGACUGACGCUCAGGUGCGAAAGCGUGGGGAGCAAACAGGAUUAGAUACCCUGGUAGUCCACGCCGUAAACGAUGUCUACUUGGAGGUUGUGCCCUUGAGGCGUGGCUUCCGGAGCUAACGCGUUAAGUAGACCGCCUGGGGAGUACGGCCGCAAGGUUAAAACUCAAAUGAAUUGACGGGGGCCCGCACAAGCGGUGGAGCAUGUGGUUUAAUUCGAUGCAACGCGAAGAACCUUAC